This 403-nucleotide ribosomal RNA is filed under the name Verrucomicrobiota bacterium. RNAcentral describes it as "Verrucomicrobia bacterium partial 16S ribosomal RNA". It matches the Rfam family "Bacterial small subunit ribosomal RNA", at positions 355 to 776 of the family's 1533-position model. Lineage: Bacteria; Pseudomonadati; Verrucomicrobiota. The record is from RNAcentral.
UGGGGAAUAUUGCACAAUGGAGGGAACUCUGAUGCAGCGACGCCGCGUGAACGAAGAAGGCUUUCGAGUCGUAAAAUUCUUUUAUAUGGGAAGAUAAUGACGGUACCAUAAGAAAAAGCCCCGGCUAACUACGUGCCAGCAGCCGCGGUAAUACGUAGGGGGCUAGCGUUGUCCGGAAUCACUGGGCGUAAAGGGUUCGCAGGCGGAAAUGCAAGUCAGGUGUAAAAGGCAGUAGCUUAACUACUGUAAGCAUUUGAAACUGCAUAUCUUGAGAAGAGUAGAGGUAAGUGGAAUUUUUAGUGUAGCGGUGAAAUGCGUAGAUAUUAAAAAGAAUACCGGUGGCGAAGGCGACUUACUGGGCUCAUUCUGACGCUGAGGAACGAAAGCGUGGGUAGCAAACAGG